Molecule: long non-coding RNA, 1217 nt
Organism: Hemiscyllium ocellatum (epaulette shark)
Lineage: Eukaryota; Metazoa; Chordata; Chondrichthyes; Orectolobiformes; Hemiscylliidae
Exons: 3
Source: RefSeq, a predicted model, not a curated record
UGUGAGCCAUGUGAUCACCCUCGCGCCCGACGCAGAGUCGCUGUAAUGAAUGCUCGGGAAGUUAUGGAGAGAAAGGAUACGAUCCCAGUGAUUAAUGCCAAAGCCCUGUUGCCUGGGGAGAGGGUGAUGUUUGACUUUCUUGUACAGCUGCAGUUUGUGUGGUGAAGGUGCUCCCACAAUGUGGUUGGGCAUUUUGUAUGAGCCAACAUGGACUAUUUGCUGUUCCAGAUGGGGGCAGGCCACACACCCACAACAGAAAAUCAACCAAGAUUCAAGUAUUAAAAUAAAAAUCACCAUUCGCUACCAUUGGUAUCUGUACAGUGCAAUACGUUUCUGUCACUGAGCCUUAAUUUCAAACUGAAAGCUGGAUAUACUGGAUUUAAUCAAUAAUUAAAUAUUAGAUAUGAUUUGGAGAUGCCAGUGUUGGACUGGGGUGUACAAAGUUAAAAAUCGCACAACACCAGGUUAUAGUCCAACAGUUUUAAUUUGAAGCACACUAGCUUUCGGAGCGACGGUCCUUCAUCAGCUAAUAGUGCCCGCCACUAUCAGCUGAUGAAGGAGCGUUGCUCUGAAAGUUACUGUGUUUCCAAUUAAACCUGUUGGACUAUAACUUGGUGUUGUGUGAUUUUUAACUAAAUGUUAGAUAUAAGCAACAAUUAGUCUUAAAAACAUUUCAUAGCAAACUUAAAAAUGACUAGAAAUCUUAUAGAACUGCCCGUGAUGUAUAAAAAUUAAGAGUAUUUAUUGGAGUGCAAACAAUUUUACGUCUGUUAAUAUGUAAGACCGAAUUUUAAUCCAAUGGUUUCUACGAACAUUCAAAGGAGGAAGAUACAGAUAUUAUCUGUGAGUGUUGGAUGGGGAGUCAUGAGUUAGUUUGUGGUUGUGUCGACCUGGAAUGAGAGAACUAUUAUUCUUUGCAAUAUUGGCACUAAGACAUAAUGGAUUAAACUACAAUGGGAAUUUGAUGAUGUUUGUUACGAAACCUAAACCGAAUUGCUGUAUGAUUUUUGGAGAGACAAUGAAUUAUUAAUUAAUUUUAGAACUCUGUUAAGAUGAACGAAUCAAUAUUUCCAAAUGGGUUGAACAUUGAUCAGAAGUGGUUUAUCAUUCAAAAUUCUCAGAUCUUCAAGAAUUCCACACUUGGUGUCUCUGCUUUGCUUCUGAAGAAAUAUAAUAUAUAAGAACAAGUUAUGUAUUAUAUUUAAUUCAUGCAAUUU